This 480-nucleotide ribosomal RNA is filed under the name uncultured bacterium. RNAcentral describes it as "bacterial SSU rRNA". It matches the Rfam family "Bacterial small subunit ribosomal RNA", at positions 28 to 520 of the family's 1533-position model. The record is from RNAcentral.
GAUGAACGCUGGCGGCGUGCCUAAUACAUGCAAGUCGAACGAGGUGCUUUUGUAGCAAUACGAGAGUAUCCUAGUGGCGAACGGGUGAGUAACGCGUGGAUGACCUGCCCCAAAGUGUGGGAUAACAGUCCGAAAGGAUUGCUAAUACCUCAUGUGGUUAUCGGUUUUAGAAAGCGAUAACUAAAGCAGCAAUGCGCUUUGGGAGGGAUCUGCGUCCCAUCAGCUAGUUGGUGAGGUAACGGCUCACCAAGGCGACGACGGGUAGGGGACCUGAGAGGGUGGCCCCCCACAAUGGAACUGAAACACGGUCCAUACACCUACGGGUGGCAGCAGUAGGGAAUAUUGCUCAAUGGGCGAAAGCCUGAAGCAGCAACGCCGCGUGUGCGAUGAAGGCCUUGGGUCGUAAAGCACUUUCUAAGAGAUGAGAAAGGACAGUAUCUUAGGAAUAAGUCUCGGCUAACUACGUGCCAGCAGCCGCGG